This 28-nucleotide non-coding RNA is filed under the name Mus musculus (house mouse). The record is from RNAcentral. Lineage: Eukaryota; Metazoa; Chordata; Mammalia; Rodentia; Muridae.
UGCAAGAAAGUAGGUGGACUAUCUCUGG